CAGAGAACAUCGCCCUCACGGGUGACUCUCCAACCCUAUGUUAUUGUACCUUUGUUGCUUUGGCGAGCCGCUUCGGCCACCGGCUUAUGCUGGUGUGUGCUCGCCAGAGGACCCCAAACUCUGAAUUAUAGUGUCGUCUGAGAACUAUAUAAUAGUUA
RNAcentral lists this unclassified non-coding RNA (158 nucleotides) under uncultured Xenopolyscytalum. Its description in RNAcentral is "sequence contains ITS1". The record is from RNAcentral. Lineage: Eukaryota; Fungi; Ascomycota; Leotiomycetes; Helotiales.